UUAUAUACGGAUGUUUUAUACGGAUGGCCUUAUAUACGGAAUUUCCGUAUGUAAAGGGGGUAAAGGAUUAUAUACGGAUUAUCCCUCUGUAAGAUCGGUAUGUAAUAUUGGCGCGUUUAGGCGGGAAGUUUGCCAAGGAUAUAUCCGUAUAUAAGACCGUAUGUAACUGGAACACUUAUUUAUCCGCUUAUUUUAAAUACGGAUAUGAUAAUAGUUAAUUAAAAAAAAAAAGUAAUAUAGAAUCUGAUUGUGGAAAUGUUCUGGCACUAUUCUCCUUCGAGCCAGCCCCCAUUCUCGAGCCCAGUUUCCCCCCUCUGUCGAGCCCUAGUUUCUGACUGCAACCAUCCAUCACCGUCAUUCUCCCUCUCUACAUCCAUGUUUCUCCCUCUGUGAUUCGCACUCAUUCUCGUCAACUCGUCAAUCUCCGUCAUCGAGCCUUCUUCUCCCUUGGCUUCUCCAUCAUGUAGCCAUUCUGUGUUAGUGGAACUGUAUUUGUGUUAAGCCGGUGGACAAUCGUCAUUUGAACCCUAGUGUUGUUUUCCGUCAUUCGAACCCUAGUUCUGCUCCUACUGGAACCUUCAUUUUGUGGUAGUGGAACCCUCGCAGUCGUAAUGUGGUUGUUUUGGCGAUCUGUCAGUGUUCGUUAUUCUGGAGUUCUAGAAUUGGUAAGUAAUUUUUGUUAAUUGUUAAAUAUGCUAAUUUGUGAAAUCGAAUAACCCUAAUUUAAUUUAUUUUUUUUUUUUGGCACGAAAUGAUGUGUGGUUUGGAUUAUGAAACCCUUGGGUGCAUUGUGUAGUGAAGAUUGAGAGGGCUUUAAAGGUAUGUUUCCUUUUAUGUGUUUUUUGUUUCAAUAUAGAAGAAGAUGGUUACUAGUAAGGAGAGUAGCUAGGAUAUCAUAGGCGUAUAAGGUUUUCAGGUAUGAAUAAUUAUUUAGGAUGUUCUGUUUUUUUGUCUUUUGAAGAGAAUAUAUAUCUGCGUAUAUGUUUUAUUGUUGACAACCUUGUUUCCUACGACUUUCGUCAGAAUUGUGAGGAGCCUUACACCUUCAUGGUGCCUAGGGAGUGGCACGAUUGUGCUCUACGUAGAUCAGAGUGUGUGAAGAGUGAGCUUGAGUGUGAGAGGGUUGUACUUGAAGGAGUAAUGUGUAGUUACUAGAGUAGAAAAAGUAGUAGAGACAAAGUUAUUAGUGAUUUAGUUUGAUAGAAAAAUCAUGCAUAGAGGAAAUUGAAAGAAAAUAAAAGUGGCUAACUAGAGCUAAGGAAAGUGGGGUAAUAAGUUUAGAACAAUGUUGUGAGAAGUAUGGAGUUUUGUGUGACAUAUAGAGUGAUGUUGAAGUAAAGGGUGAGUUAGGUUAGGUUUGGAAUAGUCUUGAUUGACAGUUAAGAUGAUCUUAUCUCUUUUUUCUCUCAUUUCUCUCUUUCUGCAGAAGCGAAGAAGACGACAACCAGGGAGAGCGGUGGUUGAAAUAAUAUCCUGGGAGCCCAGAGCUUUUCUCUAUCAUAAUUUUGUGGUUAGUGUUUAUGUAAAUGCUAUUAGCAUUUGUCAUUAAGAUGUGACAUUUUGCAUGCUUCUAUUAUGUUUAUGGUUGUCAAUGUGUCCUCUUGUGAGUAAGAACCUGGUUUUUUAUUUAUUUAUUUUUUCAUUUUCUUUCCCCUCUUUUAAAGCCAAGUUUUGUUGUGGAGAUGUAGAGGUGUCUGUGUUGAAGUUAUUUGAAUGCUAUAUAGAGCUUUUGAUUAGAUUUGCCUUUAGGAAAUACUGGAAAAUCAGACUACCUAGGCUCACUUUAAAAUUUUCUUUUGUUAGUGAUGUUGUGCUUGUAAUUGGGUUUGUGCGUGUUAGACUUCCUAAACUUGGCUUCAUUAAUUGAUCGGUAGAAAAUGGUGAGGUGGGGAGUGAGAAAGGGAGUUUUAAUGGACUGACAUGGUAGAUUGAAUGGAAUGAAAGGUUUUGGCUUUUACUCAAUUAUGCUUAACAGGGGAGUUUGGUAGUAGGACAUAAUAAAAUUAUCAGUACAACAUAAUAAAAUUAUUAAUUAUUCAAACAAAGGAGGAAGGUGAACAAACAAAAACAUUCCUUAGGCUCUAUUUUCUUUUCCAAACAAAGUUCAGCUGAAACCAUAGCAAGCCCUAUAUAUCCUUCAGCCUUUCAUACAAUCUCAAACAAAAUACAUACCAUUUUCGUACAUAGCAAUAUCUCUUCUUCAUUAUUGCACUCUUGUCAACUAUGGCCUCCAACAAAUCAUUCAUCACUGCUUUUCUUCUUGCUCUCACCUUCUCAAGCAUGAGCAUGAGCCUAGCAGCUCGCCAUCUUAUGUAGACAACUGCACCAACAUUGCCAACAUUGCCACCAUUGCCUUCAAUUCCAGCCCUUCCUUAGGGUAAUGUUCCACCACAGCCCACUAUCCCAUCUAUACCUACCACUUUGCCUCCACUUCCUACCAACAUCCCUAACAUUCCAACAAUUCCACCGCUCAACGUUCCUCCAUUGCCUUCAAUCCCAACAUUCACAAUUCCAACUACUAUGCCCUCCAUCCCAUUCCUCUCCCCACCACCUUCCACCUCCACCCCUGAAACUACCUUUCUUUUCUUCUUCCUGGCCAAGCUACCUUCUCAGUCUGAUUCGUAGUAGUGCCAAGUUGCAUGCUUCCUAUAGAUAUGGCCUGAUUCCUUUUGUCUGAGAGCCUUCUGUGGUGUUUUCCUUUUACUUUUGUCGUAUGGUGUGAAAAACUGUAUUUCUUUUCACUUUACGUGAGUUAUCGCUAUUGUUUCUACUUUUUCU
This 2778-nucleotide long non-coding RNA is filed under the name Vigna radiata. RNAcentral describes it as "long non-coding RNA (VRAD_LNC006503)". The record is from RNAcentral. Lineage: Eukaryota; Viridiplantae; Streptophyta; Magnoliopsida; Fabales; Fabaceae.